AGCGAACGCUGGCGGCAGGCCUAACACAUGCAAGUCGAACGAACCUUUCGGGGUUAGUGGCGGACGGGUGAGUAACAUGUGGGAACGUGCCUUUAGGUUCGGAAUAACUCAGGGAAACUUGUGCUAAUACCGAAUGUGCCCUUCGGGGGAAAGAUUUAUCGCCUUUAGAGCGGCCCGCGUCUGAUUAGCUAGUUGGUUGAGGUAAUGGCUCACCAAGGCGACGAUCAGUAGCUGGUCUGAGAGGAUGAUCAGCCACAUUGGGACUGAGACACGGCCCAAACUCCUACGGGAGGCAGCAGUGGGGAAUCUUGCGCAAUGGGCGAAAGCCUGACGCAGCCAUGCCGCGUGAAUGAUGAAGGUCUUAGGAUUGUAAAAUUCUUUCACCGGGGACGAUAAUGACGGUACCCGGAGAAGAAGCCCCGGCUAACUUCGU
This 433-nucleotide ribosomal RNA is filed under the name uncultured bacterium. RNAcentral's name for it is "partial 16S ribosomal RNA". It matches the Rfam family "Bacterial small subunit ribosomal RNA", at positions 29 to 506 of the family's 1533-position model. The record is from RNAcentral.